UACGUAGGUGGCAAGCGUUGUCCGGAUUUACUGGGCGUAAAGAGCGCGCAGGCGGUCGUUCAAGGCGCGUGUGAAAGCCCCCGGCUCAACUGGGGAGGGUCACGCGAUACUGAUCGACUCGAAGGCAGGAGAGGGUAGUGGAAUUCCCGGUGUAGUGGUGAAAUGCGUAGAUAUCGGGAGGAACACCAGUGGCGAAGGCGACUACCUGGCCUGUUUCUUGACGCUGAGGCGCGAAAGCUAGGGGAGCAAACGGG
Molecule: ribosomal RNA, 254 nt
Filed under: uncultured bacterium
Lineage: Bacteria
Description: partial 16S ribosomal RNA
Rfam family: Bacterial small subunit ribosomal RNA
Source: RNAcentral